Molecule: ribosomal RNA, 460 nt
Filed under: uncultured bacterium
Lineage: Bacteria
Description: partial 16S ribosomal RNA
Rfam family: Bacterial small subunit ribosomal RNA
Source: RNAcentral
CCUACGGGAGGCAGCAGUGAGGAAUCUUUGUCAAUGGGCGCAAGCCUGACCCAGCCAAGUAGCGUGAAGGAUGACUGCCCUACGGGUUGUAAACUUCUUUUAUAAAGGAAUAAAUUUAGGCACGUGUGCCUUUUUGUAUGUACUUUAUGAAUAAGGAUCGGCUAACUACGUUACAGCAGCCGCGGUAAUACGGAGGGUCCGAGCGUUGUCCGGAUUUAUUGGGUUUAAAGUGAGCGUAGGUGGGUUGUUAAGUCAGUUGUGAAAGUUUGCGGCUCAACCGUAAAAUUGCAAUUGAUACUGGAAGACUUGAGUACAGUGGAGGAAAGUGGAAUUCGAGGUGUAGCGGUGAAAUGCUUAGAUAUCACGAAGAACUCCGAUUGCGAAGGCAGCUUACUAAACUGCCACUGACAUUGAUGCUCGAAAGUGUGGGGAUCAAACAGGAUUAGAUACCCUUGUAGUC